UACGUAGGUCCCGAGCGUUGUCCGGAUUUAUUGGGCGUAAAGCGAGCGCAGGUGGUUUAUUAAGUCUGGUGUAAAAGGCAGUGGCUCAACCAUUGUAUGCAUUGGAAACUGGUAGACUUGAGUGCAGGAGAGGAGAGUGGAAUUCCAUGUGUAGCGGUGAAAUGCGUAGAUAUAUGGAGGAACACCGGUGGCGAAGGCGAUUCUCUGGACUGUAACUGACGCUGAGGCUCGAAAGCGUGGGGAGCAAACAGG
This 252-nucleotide ribosomal RNA is filed under the name uncultured bacterium. RNAcentral describes it as "partial 16S ribosomal RNA". It matches the Rfam family "Bacterial small subunit ribosomal RNA", at positions 524 to 776 of the family's 1533-position model. The record is from RNAcentral.